Molecule: ribosomal RNA, 410 nt
Filed under: Salmonella enterica subsp. enterica serovar Enteritidis
Lineage: Bacteria; Pseudomonadati; Pseudomonadota; Gammaproteobacteria; Enterobacterales; Enterobacteriaceae
Description: partial 23S ribosomal RNA
Rfam family: Bacterial large subunit ribosomal RNA
Source: RNAcentral
AAUCCAUAGGUUAAUGAGGCGAACCGGGGGAACUGAAACAUCUAAGUACCCCGAGGAAAAGAAAUCAACCGAGAUUCCCCCAGUAGCGGCGAGCGAACGGGGAGGAGCCCAGAGCCUGAAUCAGCAUGUGUGUUAGUGGAAGCGUCUGGAAAGGCGCGCGAUACAGGGUGACAGCCCCGUACACAAAAGCGCAUGUGCUGUGAGCUCGAUGAGUAGGGCGGGACACGUGGUAUCCUGUCUGAAUAUGGGGGGACCAUCCUCCAAGGCUAAAUACUCCUGACUGACCGAUAGUGAACCAGUACCGUGAGGGAAAGGCGAAAAGAACCCCGGCGAGGGGAGUGAAAAAGAACCUGAAACCGUGUACGUACAAGCAGUGGGAGCCCCACCACCAAAGCAUUUGCUGUACCGCG